RNAcentral lists this ribosomal RNA (837 nucleotides) under uncultured fungus. Its description in RNAcentral is "SSU rRNA". It matches the Rfam family "Eukaryotic small subunit ribosomal RNA", at positions 564 to 1414 of the family's 1831-position model. Lineage: Eukaryota; Fungi. The record is from RNAcentral.
GUGCCAGCCGCCGCGUAAUUCCAGCUCCAAUAGCGUAUAUUAAAGUUGUUGUGGUUAAAAAGCUCGUAGUUGAACCUUGGGCCUGGCUGGCCGGUCCGCCUCACCGCGUGCACUGGUCCGGCCGGGCCUUUCCCUCUGUGGAACCCCAUACCCUUCACUGGGCGUGGCGGGGAAACAGGACAUUUACUUUGAAAAAAUUAGAGUGCUCCAGGCAGGCCUAUGCUCGAAUACAUUAGCAUGGAAUAAUAAAAUAGGACGCGCGGUUCUAUUUUGUUGGUUUAUAGGACCGCCGUAAUGAUUAAUAGGGACAGUCGGGGGCAUCAGUAUUCAACUGUCAGAGGUGAAAUUCUUGGAUCAGUUGAAGACUAACUACUGCGAAAGCAUUUGCCAAGGAUGUUUUCAUUAAUCAGGAACGAAAGUUAGGGGAUCGAAGACGAUCAGAUACCGUCGUAGUCUUAACCAUAAACUAUGCCGACUAGGGAUCGGACGGUGUUAUUCAUGACCCGUUCGGCACCUUUACGAGAAAUCAAAGUGCUUGGGCUCCAGGGGGAGUAUGGUCGCAAGGCUGAAACUUAAAGAAAUUGACGGAAGGGCACCACCAGGGGUGCAGCCUUGCGGCUUUAAAUUUGACUCAACACGGGGAAACUCGCCAGGUCCAGACACAAUAAGGGAUUGACAGAUUGAGAGCUCUUUUCUUGAUUUUGGUGGGUGGUGGUGCAUGGCCGGAUCUUAGUUGGUGGGGUGGACUUGUCUGCUUACUUGCGAUAACGAACGGAGACCGUAAUCUUGCUAAAUAGGCCCGGCAUUGCUCCGGGCAGUGGCGCUGGGCUUUCUUUG